Molecule: long non-coding RNA, 7037 nt
Filed under: Homo sapiens (human)
Lineage: Eukaryota; Metazoa; Chordata; Mammalia; Primates; Hominidae
Description: non-protein coding lnc-PLS1-6:2
Source: RNAcentral
CUCAGCACCGAGCGAGCGACGUUCGUGAAGCUUUCGUUUUGAGCGGCCAGACUCUGCUGUUCUCAAGCCUGGGAGGCACAGAGAAGCAAGACUUCCGCAUCGGGGGAGGAUAGGGCUUGAGGGCCGCCAGCCCAGACUCGCUUCACAAAUGUGAGAACUAUGACAGUCCAGCGAGUAAAGGCCAAGAGUAAACUCCAGGUUUCCCCAGAGUAACGCUCUCACAUUUUAAAAGUUCCUCACGUUCCCACCGCUCUUGUCCCUCUUUCUGAGAGAUACAGGCCAAAAGGUGGGCUCUCCCUGUUUUUUUCCUUUUAAGCAUUUUUUUUCAACUUGAAGUCACUGUUAGGUUUCGUUGAGGACCCUACCAACUUUUAAUAUUUGAAAAUGGGGUUGGAAUAUAUUUGUGUCUCAUCAAAUCAGCAACAGUACUGUGUGUGGAAAUGCCACCAUUACGGGCAUCCGCAACCUGUGAUUUAAUUUUUAAAGUAAAUCAAUGGAUUUUGGCAAUACACAUUUUCUAGCUCAACUCAAUUUAUUGGAAAGAUGACCACCAUAAGAGAUUGUUGACAUGUCAAAGUUAUGUAGUUAAUCACUCAAAGUCAUGCAGUAUGUUUACAUUUGUUCUUUGGUACAUGAGGAUAGUUAACCGAUACAGUAUCUUAAAGAAAAAAGUGAUGGAAUGACAGCCAAAUAUGCUCUUGCCUCAAGAACUUUGCAUUUGCUGUACUCUCUGCCUUGAACACCACUCUGUCAUUGCCCUUUUUCCUUCAGGUGUUUGCCAAAUUAACACCAAAGAGCCUCAUAUAGACUAACAUAUAUACACAUUCUGUCUCACCCUCUUUUUUUUGUUAGAUACAUUGUCUUACUCUGUUGUUCAGGUUCUAGUGCAAUGAAUGUUGCAAUCAUAGCUCACUGCAGCCUCAAUCUCCCAGGCUCAAGCGAUCCUCUCACCUCAGCCUGGGCUCAAUUGAUCCUCCUGCCUCAGCCUCCUGAGUAGCUGGGACUACAGACAUGCCACCACGCCUGGCUAAUUAUUUUUUGUAGAGACAAGGUCUUGCUAUGUUGCCCAGGCUGGUCUCAAACUCUUGGCCUCACACGCUCCUCCCACCUCAGCCUUCCAAAGUACUAGAAUUAGAGGUGAGAGCCACCACACCCGGACAUACUAUAUUAUUGUCUCUCUCCAGUUAGAGUGUAAGCUCUUGGAGAGCAAGGUCUUGUCUAUUUUGUUCACUCUCAGAUACCCAGGACCUAAAACUGUGCCUGGCACAUAGGUGGUGUUCAGUAAACAUUUGUUGAAUGAAUCACUGAAUGUUUUAGGAGAAAGGACAUGGGAUUGGGAGUUACAGGCCCUACACAAGUUCUCAUUCCAUCUGCUAGAAACUAUAUGACCUCAGUAAAGUUACUUAAUCUCUUAAUACUUCCAUUUUUUCAUUUAUAAAAUGGGAUUAAUAAUGUCUACCUCACAAGAUUACAGCAAAGAUUAAAUAAGAGGGGGUAAAGUCAUAAAGUGGAAUAUAAUUUCAUAGUUAAAAUGAAUGAAUUAUACUACCUAUACCAACGAUGAAUCCUGAAAACUACAUUGAUUGAAAAAGCAAAUUCAAAGGUAUACAUAAUAGUGUCAUAUCAUUUAUAUACAAUCUUAAAACCACAAAACAAUGCGUUGUGUGAGUUAUGUAUACAAAUAUGUUUGAUAAAAGUAUGAAAACAUGUUUGGCAAAGAUAGAUAUCAACUCCAGGAUAGUUGCACCUGUGGAAGGGAGAGAAGGGAAUGAAAUGAUGAAGCUUCAAUGUAUCCCUAAGGGUUUUCUUUUAGUAGGAUUUGAAUUAAUUAUUAUUUAAUCAAAAUUUAAUGUUAUAUUUGGGUGGAUGUUAUAUUACUAUUUGUAUCUGCAUAGCCAGGAUAUUCCAACAUGUAUUAAAAAAAAUAGCUCCUUCCCGUCUUGUAAGAUGGUGGGGGAAAAAGUUGAGAAGCCAGACACCAAGGAGAAGAAACGUGAAGCCAAGAAGGCUGAUGCUAGUGGCAAGGUUAAAACAUAACUUCGGUUGGGCACGGUGGCUCACGCCUGUAAUCCCAGCACUUUGGGAGGCUGAGGCAGGCGGAUCACCUGAGGUCAGGAAUUCAAGACCAGCCUGGCUAACAUGGUGAAACUCCAUUUCUACUAAAAAUACAAAAAAUUAGCUGGGUGUGCUGGUGGGCGCCCGUAAUCUCAGCUAUUCGGAAGGCUGAGGCAGGAGAAUCGCUUGACCCCGAGAGGCGGAGGUUGCAGUGAGCCGAGAUUGCAUCAUUGCAUUCCAGCUUGGGCAACAAGAGCGAAACUCCGUCAAAAAACACAAACAAAAACACCUCAAGGCUAAAAAGCCAAAGAAAGGGAAGCCCCCCUGCAGCGGAAAUCCUGUCCUUAUCAGAGGAAUUGGCAGAUAUUCUCAAUCUGCUAUGUCAAAAAGGCCAGGUACAAGAGGAAGUACUCGGGUACUAAAUCCAGAAUUAAAAAGAAGAAAGUCCAGACUUGAAAAAGGAAAAGGUUCUUGCCAUUGCUACAAAACCAGUUGGUGGCAACAAGAAUGGUGAUACUUUUUGCAAAGUAAACCCUACAAAAUGCCUAGAUCCUUCCAAAGAUGUGCCUGGAAAGCUGCUGUUGAGCCACAGAAAAAACAAACAGAAACACUUCAGUCAGCACAGAGAAAACUGCAAACUAGCUUCUCUCCUGGGAUCAUUCUGCUUAUCCUCACUGGGCACCACAAAGGCAAGAGGGUGGUUUUACUGGAGCAGCUGAGGAGUGGCUUGUUAAUUGUGACUGGACCUCUGGUCCUCAUUCACAUUCUGUGGGAAACACACCAGAGGUCAUCACAAAAUUGAAAUCAGCAAUGUGAAAAUUCCAAAACAUCUUACCAAUGCUUGCUUAAGAAGAUGAUGCUAUGGAAGCCCAAAUACUGGGAAAGUGACAUCGUCAACACAGAAAGAGAGUAAUAGAAGAUUAUGGAGCAAUGCAAGGUUGAUCAGAAAGCUGUGGACUCGUGGCCAAGCACGCUAGCUCACUCCUGUUACCCCAGCACUUUGGGAGCCUGAGGCGGGUGGAUCACUUGAGGUCAGGAGUUCGACACCAGCCUGCCAACAUGGUGAAACCCCAUCUCUACUAAAAAUACAAAAAUUAGCCUGGCGUGGUGGCGGGCAUCUGUAAUCCCAGCUGCUGGGGAGGCUGAGGCAGGAGAACCACUUGAUCCCGGGAAGCAGAGUUUGCAGUGAGCAGAGAUCGCACCACUGCACUCUAGCCUGGGUGACAGAGCAAGACUCCAUCUCAAAAAAAAAAAAAAAAAAUUAGAAAGUUGUGGACUCGUAAAUGUUACCAAAAAUCAAAGCUAUUCCUUAGCUCCAGGGCUACCUGUAAUCUGUGUUUGCUCUGAUGAAUGGAGUUUAUCCUAGCAAAUAGGUGUUCUAAAUGUCUUACCAAGAACCUAAUUAAAUAACUGAUGCAUUUAAAAACUAAAAUAAGUAUACUUUUAAGCUUAAAUAACACAUCUGAAAAAUAGUUUAAAAAUACCAAAUUUUAGCUAUUUUUAGAACAUAUGAAGAAAGAUUAUAAAAAUUAGAAUGCUAUCUGGAAGGCAAUAGCUAAAUAGCAUGGUAAUUCUAAAAAGCAGUAUAAAUUUGCAAGCCUUAUAAAUAAUAGAGCCUCAGAAAUCCCAUUUAAUUCAAAAAGUCAUUUUGGGCAAGAUAUUGGGUUAGGUACUUCUGUGACAGACACAAAAAUGAGGAAGAUGAAGUUAGUUUCAGCGGGGCAUAGUGGCUAACACUUGUAGUCCCAGCUACUUGAGAGGCUGAGGUAGGAGGAUGGCUUGAGCCAAGGAAGCCAGGGUUACAGUAAGCCACAAUCUCGCCACUACAUUCCAGCCUGAGCAACAGAGCCAAAUCCUGUCUCAGAGGAAAAAAAAAAAGUUAAUUUCAGGUAAUGUACAAUUUGUGGAUACAGAAAGGAUAUAAUGAGAACAUAGACAAUUAAGAGCAAAGUGAAAUCCAGUGAAUGCCAGGACAGGGAUAUAAACAGCAUGUAUUGGAAAAAUAGAGGACACAAUCUACUCCAGUGGAAAGAAGAGGUGUAUCAGGAAGGAGCUCAAGGAGAAGGUGUCACCAUAUCUGAGAUUGGACUUGAAGGAUGAGGAGGACUUCAAGAGACAGAAAUUGGGGAAAAGGAAUAUAUUCUAACUAGAGGCAGCAGUAUGAACAAAAAGCAUGCUGAGGGAGGGACACGGUCCCCUUUGGCUGGUACAAGGGAACAUUUAGAGUAGUCUGAGACAUUUGUACAGACUUCAGUAAGUAUUGGAGAGGCUCUGGGAGAUUUCAUAUAAGAGUGAUGGUCAAAGCUACACUUGAAUCUGGCAGGAGAGUGUAGAACAGAAUAAAAGGAGAGUAGCAGGUCAUUUAGAGAAAUCAAACAUCUAUAGCAGUAUUUUAACAAAUGAGUUGAUUCAAGAAGUCAGCAUUCCAAGUAGACAUCCUCCCUCUAGUAACUCAUGUAUUAUCCAGGCUGGUUCCAUUUCUACACCUUCUACUCAGCCCUAAACCUACGUAUACUAUACUCUCUGUCCUGUUUGCCCUCCCACCCCUUAAGUGCCUCUCACCAGAGUUACCAAUGACUUUCAUAUGGCUGUUGACCAGUUCUUUCCUUUGACCUUUUAGCAGCAUUUGACAAUAGAGACCAGCUGUCCUCAACCUUUUUGGCACCAAGGACCAGUUUUGUGGAAGACAGUUUUUCCAUGGACAGGGAGGUGGAGGGAUGUUUUCGGGAUGAUUCAAGCACAUUACAUUUAUUUUGCACUAUUAUUACAUUGUAAUAUAUAAUAAGUCAUUAUACAACUCACCAUAAUGUAGAAUCAGUGGGAGCCCUGAGUUUGUUUUUCUGCAACUAGACGGUCCCAUCUGGGGUGAUGGGAGACAAUGAGAGAUCAUCAGGCAUUAGAUUCUCAUAAAGAGCAUGCAACCUACAUCUGUCACAUGUGCAGUUCACAAUAGGGUUUGCACUCCUAUGAGAAUUUAAUGCCCUGCUGAUCUGACAGGAGGCGGAGCUCAGGCGGUAAUGCCAGUGAUGGGAAGCUGCUGUGAAAAGAGAUGAAGCUUCACUUGCUUGCCCUCCACUCACCUCCUGCUGUGUGGCCCGGUUCCUAACAGGCCACUGGCCAGUACUGUGGCCCAGGGGUUGGAGACCCCUAAUGUAGACCACUGCUGCUUUCUUGGAAAGCUUUCUUUGGACUCCAUGACGCUUACUUGUUAACAACACUUCUUUGCCAUUCCCGUUACUGUUGAUAUUCCUCAGGAUUCUAACUUAGUUUCUUUUCUCUUUUUUAUUAUUUCAUUCACACUCAAGGCUUCAAUUAACUUUCCGUCUGCUGUUCACUCCAAAAUUCAUUGCUCUUCCCUUAUCUCUCUCCAAGAUUUAUAUUUCCUAUGUCUAUCUCCCUACUGAAUAUUUUCCCUUCAGCAUUUCCCAGGCACUUUAUUUUGUUUAACUUUUUGUUAUGGGGACUUUCAAAUAUAUAUAAAAGUAGACACAAUAAGGAACUCCUUUAUGUCCAUCACCCAAUCAAUGAUUAUCAGCAUAUGGUUAGUCUUUGUUUCAUUUAUAACCACCUUUCUCAUUUUCUCUCUCCUCAGUUGGAUUAAAGAAAAGUCUAGACCUCAUAUCAAUUUAUCUGCAGAUACUUCAGUUUAUAUCUUUAAAACAUAAGGACUAGAUUCUAUCUCCUAAAUAUCAAACCUAUCCACUUUCCCCCAAAUUCCCUUACCACCAUUCUAGUUUUAGACCAUCAUCACCUCUUGCCUAAAUUACUUCAACAGGCUUCUAGCUUGCCUAUCUGCCUUUAGGCUUGUUUUUCUCUAACCCAUUCUCCAUACUUGAGGGGGAGAGAGUCUCCCAGACCUUUUAUUUUUCCUGAAACGAGUCUCACUCUGUCGCCCAGGCUGGAUUGCAAUCAUGUGAUCUCGGCUCAGCUGCAACCUCUGCCUCCAGGAUUCAAGCCAUCCUCCCACCUCAGCUUCUCAAGUAGCUGGGAUGACAGGUGCAUGCCACUAUGCCCAGCUGAUUUUUGUAUUUUUAGGAGAGAUGGGGUUUUACCAUAUUGGCCAGGCUGGUCUUGAACACCUGACCUCAAGUGACCUGCCCACCUUGGCCUCCCAAAGUGCUGGGAUGCUGGGAUUUAAUAGGAGUGAGCCACUGCGCGUGGCCAUCUCCUAGCUUUUUUGUGUGUGUGUGUGUGUGUGUGUGUGUGUGUGUGUGUGAUGGAGUCUCACUCGCUGGAGUGCCGUGGCACGAUCUCGGCUCACUGCAACCUCCGUCUCCAGGAUUCAAGCCAUUCUCUUGCCUCAGCCUCCUGAGUAGCUGGGAUUACAGCUACUGUAAUCCCAGUGUGUGCCACCACGCCCGGUGAAUUUUUGUAUUUUUAGUAGAGAUGGGCUUCGCCAUGUUGGCCAAGCUGGUCUGGAGCUCCUGGCCUCAGGUGAUCUGCUGCCUUGGCCUCCCAAAGUGCUGGGAUUAUAGGCAGGAGCCACCAUAUCCGGCCAAUUUUUAAUUUUUGUGGGUAUAUAGUAGGUGUAUAUACUUUAUGGGGUACAUAAGCUAUUUUGAUACAGGCACACAAUGUGUAAUAAUCACAUCAGGGUAAAUGGGGUAUCCAUCACCUCAAGCAUUUAUCUUUUGUGUUACAAACAAUCCAAUUAUAUUCAUUUAAAAAUGUACAAUAAAUGUUUGACUGUAGUCACCCUGUUCUGCAAUCAAAUGCUAGAUCUUUUUUCUUUUUUGAGACAAGGUCUCAUCUGUUGUCCAGGCUGGACUACAGUGGCCUGAUCUUGGUGUACUGCAGCCUUGGGCUUCCAGGCUGAAGUGAUUUUCCCACCUCAGCCUCCUGAGUAGCUGAGACUACAAGUGCACACCACCUCAGCUGGCUAAUUUUGGUGUUUUUUGUAGAGACGGGGGUUUUGCCAUGUUGCCUAGGCUGGUGUUGAACUCCUGGGCUCAAGUGAUCGGCCUGCUUCAGUCUCCUGAAGU